GGGCGCAUGGUUCAAUGGUAGAGCGUUCCCGAACGGGAAAGAAAGGGGUUCGAUUCCCUGGCGUCCA
This 67-nucleotide transfer RNA is filed under the name Caudoviricetes sp. RNAcentral describes it as "tRNA-OTHER". It matches the Rfam family "tRNA". Rfam says of the family: Transfer RNA (tRNA) molecules are approximately 80 nucleotides in length. Their secondary structure includes four short double-helical elements and three loops (D, anti-codon, and T loops). Further hydrogen bonds mediate the characteristic L-shaped molecular structure. tRNAs have two regions of fundamental functional importance: the anti-codon, which is responsible for specific mRNA codon recognition, and the 3' end, to which the tRNAs corresponding amino acid is attached (by aminoacyl-tRNA synthetases). tRNAs cope with the degeneracy of the genetic code in two manners: having more than one tRNA (with a specific anti-codon) for a particular amino acid; and 'wobble' base-pairing, i.e. permitting non-standard base-pairing at the 3rd anti-codon position. The record is from RNAcentral. Lineage: Duplodnaviria; Heunggongvirae; Uroviricota; Caudoviricetes.